CGAAGCUGGAGCAUAAUGAGUUGAAUAAGAGCAGGGUUCUCAGGAAGGGGCUGGAGCGCAUUCCCGACUCAGUGAGGCUGUGGAAGGCUGUUGUGGAAAUGGCCAAUGAGGAGGAUGCAAGGCUUCUGCUGCACCGUGCUGUGGAGUGCUGCCCGCUACAUGUUGAACUGUGGCUCGCUUUGGCUAGGCUGGAGACGUAUGAGCAGGCGAAGAAGGUGCUGAACAAGG
RNAcentral lists this unclassified non-coding RNA (228 nucleotides) under Hevea brasiliensis (rubber tree). The record is from RNAcentral. Lineage: Eukaryota; Viridiplantae; Streptophyta; Magnoliopsida; Malpighiales; Euphorbiaceae.